AAAUUGAAGAGUUUGAUCAUGGCUCAGAUUGAACGCUGGCGGCAGGCCUAACACAUGCAAGUCGAACGGUAACAGGAAGCAGCUUGCUGCUUCGCUGACGAGUGGCGGACGGGUGAGUAAUGUCUGGGAAACUGCCUGAUGGAGGGGGAUAACUACUGGAAACGGUGGCUAAUACCGCAUAACGUCGCAAGACCAAAGAGGGGGACCUUCGGGCCUCUUGCCAUCAGAUGUGCCCAGAUGGGAUUAGCUGGUUGGUGAGGUAACGGCUCACCAAGGCGAC
RNAcentral lists this ribosomal RNA (280 nucleotides) under Salmonella enterica subsp. enterica serovar Senftenberg. RNAcentral's name for it is "partial 16S ribosomal RNA". It matches the Rfam family "Bacterial small subunit ribosomal RNA", at positions 1 to 277 of the family's 1533-position model. RNAcentral also lists the same sequence under 1 other name. The record is from RNAcentral. Lineage: Bacteria; Pseudomonadati; Pseudomonadota; Gammaproteobacteria; Enterobacterales; Enterobacteriaceae.